Molecule: ribosomal RNA, 253 nt
Filed under: uncultured bacterium
Lineage: Bacteria
Description: partial 16S ribosomal RNA
Rfam family: Bacterial small subunit ribosomal RNA
Source: RNAcentral
UACGUAGGGUGCGAGCGUUGUCCGGAAUUAUUGGGCGUAAAGGGCUCGUAGGCGGUUUGUCGCGUCGGGAGUGAAAACUCAGGGCUUAACCCUGAGCCUGCUUCCGAUACGGGCAGACUAGAGGUAUGCAGGGGAGAACGGAAUUCCUGGUGUAGCGGUGAAAUGCGCAGACAUCAGGAGGAACACCGGUGGCGAAGGCGGUUCUCUGGGCAUUACCUGACGCUGAGGAGCGAAAGUGUGGGGAGCGAACAGG